This 73-nucleotide transfer RNA is filed under the name Mucor hiemalis. RNAcentral's name for it is "tRNA-Thr". It matches the Rfam family "tRNA". From Rfam's summary of the family: Transfer RNA (tRNA) molecules are approximately 80 nucleotides in length. Their secondary structure includes four short double-helical elements and three loops (D, anti-codon, and T loops). Further hydrogen bonds mediate the characteristic L-shaped molecular structure. tRNAs have two regions of fundamental functional importance: the anti-codon, which is responsible for specific mRNA codon recognition, and the 3' end, to which the tRNAs corresponding amino acid is attached (by aminoacyl-tRNA synthetases). tRNAs cope with the degeneracy of the genetic code in two manners: having more than one tRNA (with a specific anti-codon) for a particular amino acid; and 'wobble' base-pairing, i.e. permitting non-standard base-pairing at the 3rd anti-codon position. RNAcentral also lists the same sequence under 2 other names. Lineage: Eukaryota; Fungi; Mucoromycota; Mucoromycetes; Mucorales; Mucoraceae. The record is from RNAcentral.
GCCUUCUUGGCUCAGUUGGCAGAGCGUCUGCCUAGUAAGCAGAAGGUCAUCAGUUCGAUUCUGAUAGAAGGCA